AGGCAGAGUCGACACUUAAAUGACAAAGCAAGAUUCAACAUAAUCUGAAGACUGGAGCCAUGAGCUGAUACCAACAAGAGAUGUGGUGUGAGAACCUUAUUCAUGCAAGAAGGCAGCGUGGAAAAGAAGGAAACAUGAGCUGUGGGGAGUCCAAGCCCAGCCCAUAUCCAGGAGGAGAAGAGAAAGCAGACUUUCCUCUCCAGCUCACUCUGCUCCCCCACUUCCUGCCGACCCCAAAGCCCCGGCGGGACCCCCUACGCACCGGAGGGGAGAAAUCUGGGGGCUGUACCCAAGGCCGGGGUGGAGGAGAGCCCUUCACUGUGUUCACGACCUGACCCCCUGCAAUCUGCUCUCUGGUCUCGCUCUCCGUCUGCCUCCUCUAGCAUCUCGUCAUCAGAACCUUCACAAUUGUCAUGCCAACGCAUUUCCUCUAAGAGCGUUUUCUUGAACAUGUGUCACUUUUUGAAAAUGUGCUCAGGAGAGCAACUUCUUCCUGUCUGACCAAGAUUCAGUCCCUUCCACUGCAGCCAGUCGCAGGCCCGUCCGCCGAGGCGACUGGGGAUGGGGAACCAUGGGCCCGGGGACAGCAGGACAUUUGUCUGCACUGGCCUUGUCAGGGCUCCGGGUCAGCCAGACGGUGGUCCACUUGUGUUUGGAAAUUCAACGUGACGCGUGCAUCCCCCGCACACGUGGUCAGCUUCUGUAUGAAAGAUGGUAUUUCCCCUGGGGCCACACUGGCACCUGGGGCCUGCAGAACACACUUUGUUGGUGCUCUAGACUUGCAGAUCCUCACAUAUCUCGCCCUGGCCCCACCUCCCGUGAACUCCUGAGGUCAGGACCCUGGUCUCCUCCAAAUUUGUGUCCUCCUUAAUGUUGUGCAUGCUGCAUAGUGCAAGAGCAAUACUGCUGAAUGGAUGAGUAAGUCACUACACAGAAGGAAGCAAACUGGAAAACUACAGAAGUCAUGUGUUAUGUUGUUUUUUUCUGUCCCAGCUUUUUGAGUUAAGCAGGAGAGUGAGGAGGUGGGAAAGAGGCCGCAUAAGAAGCAAUAAAUAGAAAUACAAUAUUCUGGCAAAAGCUACGUCUCUGACAACAGCAAGAAAGGCAAAAUACAUAUGAAAAUGACAAAUGAGUCUUAUUUGGAGGCAGUCACUGUCCCCAAAAGGCUGUGUCAUAUGUAGUUCAUCUAGACGGAGGUGAUACAACUGGCUUGGCCUAAGCAUUCAGCGAAAGGCAAUGUCAUAUAGUGCUACUUAACGCCUCGGUGCAGGGAAUGAGGGCAGAAGUGUGCUGGUCUUUGACAUAAUCUGCUGAGGGCAAAAUAACAACUUCACCCUCAAUGGCGAGAUACACAGUUGUUUUCAAAAUAAACAAGCAACCGCCCUCAUAGCAGAAGCUGGUUAAGUCUCUGGUCUGCUAACACGA
Diceros bicornis minor is the source of this 1425-nucleotide long non-coding RNA. RefSeq lists it as uncharacterized. NCBI's taxonomy places the organism in Eukaryota, Metazoa, Chordata, Mammalia, Perissodactyla, Rhinocerotidae. The record is from RefSeq and is a predicted model, not a curated record. The transcript has 3 exons.